GAUGAAGAACGCAGCAAAAUGCGAUAAGUAAUGUGAAUUGCAGAAUUCAGUGAAUCAUCGAAUCUUUGAACGCACAUUGCGCCCGCCAGUAUUCUGGCGGGCAUGCCUGUUCGAGCGUCAUUUCAACCCUCAAGCACAGCUUGGUGUUGGGACUCGCGUUAAUUCGCGUUCCUCAAAUUGAUUGGCGGUCACGUCGAGCUUCCAUAGCGUAGUAGUAAAACCCUCGUUACUGGUAAUCGUCGCGGCCACGCUGUUAAACCCCAACUUCUGAAUGUUGACCUCGGAUCAGGUAGGAAUACCCGCUGAACUUAAGCAUAUCAAUAAGCGGAGG
RNAcentral lists this unclassified non-coding RNA (331 nucleotides) under soil metagenome. RNAcentral's name for it is "partial contains 5.8S ribosomal RNA, internal transcribed spacer 2, and large subunit ribosomal RNA". The stretch from base 1 to 120 matches the Rfam family "5.8S ribosomal RNA", at positions 35 to 154 of the family's 154-position model. The record is from RNAcentral.